CCCUGAAUGAAAAUUCUCUUCAUAUUUGUGCAUUCUUUCUUUUGGUAUGAGCUUAUAACGACGGGAGAUAACUCUCCCAUACAAACGAAAUUAAGCGUGUUAGGAACAGGAGGAGAACCUCAUCCUAACAUGAGCAAAGCCGAAGGCCCGAUUUUUUAAAGAUCGGAUGGGGAGAGAGGCCCUUACAACGACCCUUAUGUGCCC
This 204-nucleotide long non-coding RNA is filed under the name Elaeis guineensis (African oil palm). RNAcentral's name for it is "long non-coding RNA (EGUI_LNC057706)". The record is from RNAcentral. Lineage: Eukaryota; Viridiplantae; Streptophyta; Magnoliopsida; Arecales; Arecaceae.